UACAGAGGGUGCGAGCGUUGUUCGGAAUUAUUGGGCGUAAAGGGCGCGUAGGCGGUGCGGUAAGUCACCUGUGAAAUCUCCCGGCUUAACCUGGGAACUGCAUUUGUGACUGCAUGGCUAGAGUGCGGCAGAGGGGGAUGGAAUUCCGCGUGUAGCGGUGAAAUGCGUAGAUAUGUGGAGGAACACCGAUGGCGAAGGCAGCCCCCUGGGCCAAUACUGACGCUCAUGCACGAAAGCGUGGGGAGCAAACAGG
RNAcentral lists this ribosomal RNA (253 nucleotides) under uncultured bacterium. RNAcentral describes it as "partial 16S ribosomal RNA". It matches the Rfam family "Bacterial small subunit ribosomal RNA", at positions 524 to 776 of the family's 1533-position model. The record is from RNAcentral.